Molecule: ribosomal RNA, 515 nt
Filed under: uncultured bacterium
Lineage: Bacteria
Description: partial 16S ribosomal RNA
Rfam family: Bacterial small subunit ribosomal RNA
Source: RNAcentral
GAUGAACGCUGGCGGCGUGCCUAAUACAUGCAAGUCGAGCGAAUGGAUUAAGAGCUUGCUCUUAUGAAGUUAGCGGCGGACGGGUGAGUAACACGUGGGUAACCUGCCCAUAAGACUGGGAUAACUCCGGGAAACCGGGGCUAAUACCGGAUAACAUUUUGAACCGCAUGGUUCGAAAUUGAAAGGCGGCUUCGGCUGUCACUUAUGGAUGGACCCGCGUCGCAUUAGCUAGUUGGUGAGGUAACGGCUCACCAAGGCAACGAUGCGUAGCCGGCCUGGGAGGGUGGUCGGCCACACUGGGACUGGAACACGGCCCAGACUCCUACGGGAGGCAGCAGUAGGGAAUCUUCCGCAAUGGACGAAAGUCUGACGGAGCGACGCCGCGUGAGUGAUGAAGGCUUUCGGGUCGUAAAACUCUGUUGUUAGGGAAGAACAAGUGCUAGUUGAAUAAGCUGGCACCUUGACGGUACCUAACCAGAAAGCCACGGCUAACUACGUGCCAGCCGCCGCGGUAA